This 253-nucleotide ribosomal RNA is filed under the name uncultured prokaryote. RNAcentral describes it as "partial 16S ribosomal RNA". It matches the Rfam family "Bacterial small subunit ribosomal RNA", at positions 524 to 776 of the family's 1533-position model. The record is from RNAcentral.
UACGUAGGGGGCAAGCGUUGUCCGGAAUCAUUGGGCGUAAAGAGCGCGUAGGCGGCCCUGUAAGUCCGCUGUGAAAGUCAAGGGCUCAACCCUCGGAUGCCGGUGGAUACUGUCGGGCUCGAGUACGGAAGAGGCGAGUGGAAUUCCUGGUGUAGCGGUGAAAUGCGCAGAUAUCAGGAGGAACACCAAUUGCGAAGGCAGCUCGCUGGGACGUUACUGACGCUGAGACGCGAAAGCGUGGGGAGCAAACAGG